Molecule: ribosomal RNA, 429 nt
Filed under: Bacteroidota bacterium
Lineage: Bacteria; Pseudomonadati; Bacteroidota
Description: Bacteroidetes bacterium partial 16S ribosomal RNA
Rfam family: Bacterial small subunit ribosomal RNA
Source: RNAcentral
UAGGGAAUCUUCGGCAAUGGGGGGAACCCUGACCGAGCAACGCCGCGUGAGUGAAGAAGGUUUUCGGAUCGUAAAGCUCUGUUGUUAAGGAAGAACGAGUGUGAGAAUGGAAAGUUCAUGCUGUGACGGUACUUAACCAGAAAGGGACGGCUAACUACGUGCCAGCAGCCGCGGUAAUACGUAGGUCCCGAGCGUUGUCCGGAUUUAUUGGGCGUAAAGCGAGCGCAGGCGGUUAGAAAAGUCUGAAGUGAAAGGCAGUGGCUCAACCAUUGUAGGCUUUGGAAACUGUUUAACUUGAGUGCAGAAGGGGAGAGUGGAAUUCCAUGUGUAGCGGUGAAAUGCGUAGAGAUAUGGAGGAACACCGGUGGCGAAAGCGGCUCUCUGGUCUGUAACUGACGCUGAGGCUCGAAAGCGUGGGGAGCGAACAGG